GACGAACGCUGGCGGCGUGCUUAACACAUGCAAGUCGAACGGAAAGGCCCUGCUUUUGUGGGGUGCUCGAGUGGCGAACGGGUGAGUAACACGUGUGUAACCUGUCCUUGACUUUGGGAUAACUUCAGGAAAAUGGGGCUAAUAUCGGAUAGGAGCUUCUGAUGCAUGGUGGGGGUUGGAAAGUUUCGGCGGUUGGGGAUGGAAUAGAGGCUUAUCAGCUUGUUGGUGGGGUAGUGGCUUACCAAGGCUUUGACGGGUAGGCGGCCUGAGAGGGUGACCGGCCACAUUGGGACUGAGAUACGGCCCAGACUCCUACGGGAGGCAGCAGUGGGGAAUAUUGCACAAUGGGCGGAAGCCUGAUGCAGCAACGCCGCGUGCGGGAUGACGGCCUUCGGGUUGUAAACCGCUUUCGCCUGUGACGAAGCGUGAGUGACGGUAAUUGGUAAAGAAGCACCGGCUAACUACGUG
This 468-nucleotide ribosomal RNA is filed under the name uncultured bacterium. Its description in RNAcentral is "partial 16S ribosomal RNA". It matches the Rfam family "Bacterial small subunit ribosomal RNA", at positions 28 to 507 of the family's 1533-position model. The record is from RNAcentral.